UUUGCACCAAAAGGCUGUUUUGCUUUUUUUGUCAAAAUUAAGUGCCAAUUAAAAUAUCCAAAUUUUAAUGGUAAAGGUCUUCCAAAACAGAGCCAAUCAUACUAAUCAAACAAAGUCUACUCGUUAAGCAUUCAUUAAAUUUUCGAUUACACUACAACUUUAUUACAAUGAAAAUCACCCAGCGAAGAAAAUCGCCAACUCCCUCUACCCUAAACCCAUAAAAAAAAAAAACUGAAAACAAGAUGUAUCAUCAAUGCAAAUAAAAAUAAAUAUCUACUCGAGAUAUUUAUGGGAAAAUUAUUCAAGGCCCAUUUUGAAAUUUUCAAGGCUAGAACUCCUUUGAAGAUACUGGGAUUCAUUUAUCCCAUCAUAUGCAGUAUUAGACUCUUCGGAUAGUGAGUUUAGGGUACGGUAGUGAUUGAUUAUAACUUUCGUUAUGUACCGGAUGAUUUGAAUGACUUAUGUUCGGAGGGUGAAAAAAUUUACUUUGUUAAUAGAGACUUUUCCUUAGGGCGUAUUUGAGACAAUAGUGAUUCAGAAGAACUUUCGUUACGUACUGGAUGCUUUGAUUGACUAUGCUCGGAGGGUGAAAAAAUGUGCUUUGGUAAUAGAGACUUUACCAUGGGGCGUAUUUGAGACAGUAGUGAUUCAGAAGAGUUUUUGUUAUGUACUGGAAUUUGCUUUGUUAAUGCAGACUUUUCCUUGGGUCGUAUUUGAGACAGUAGUGAUUGAUUUGAUUGACUAUGCUCGGAGGGUGAAAAACUUUGCUUUGCUGACUUUUCCUUAGGGCGUAUUUGAGACAGUAGUGAUUGGCAAGAACUUCUAAUUAGUGCCCAAGAAUUUGGUUGACUACGUUCGGAAUGUAGUCUGGCUCCAUCUGCUGAAUUCUCCAUCAAUUUCAGUUGCGCUUUUCUAGACAAUGGAGUCUGUGAAUUUAAUCUAACAAAAGAGUGCAAACAGUUUAAAAAAAAAUUCUGGCAAAAGACUAAGAAUGAUAUAUUACUGAAAAUUUAUUCCAUAAAUGAAAGUUGAUAAUAAAAUAACAUACUCAUACCAUAAAUUAAAGUUACAAUCCUCAUAAUUAAUAAGCUAAUCCAGAAGAUAAGAAGUAUACUUCAUAACUAACUUGAGAGAAUACCUUGCUGCACCAAAACUUCAAAAAACUCUCAACUCCUCAGCUGUUGGGAUUCAUACUUCAUGCUGCUGCUAUUACUUUAUACAAAUGCUGCAAUUCUUUCUUUCUACCAUCAAGUUUAUUAAACCACAUACUUAAACAAGCAAAAUAUAUAUACUCCACUCACAUAUUAAGAUUUCUAUUUUUAAUUCUAAUUGAUUGGGGCCGCUGGCGUGUCGACAUUGACUUUGUCAACCCGUGUGGACGGGUUUCGAUACAAAUGGGAAGUUUCUAUUGUAUGUUUUUGUUUUUUCCCUCUCCCUGGCUCAUGUAGAAGUAGACUUACUAUACUGAUCUAUAGUAAGUCUUUUCUUCACAUUAGUAAAUGGUAGUCGGUAGAUAAUAGUCCAACUCUACACGCGGCUAUCUAUUUGAAUUAUACAUGCAUGUACUAAAAAAAUGAUAUUUUCACAAUUAAACAUUAUUAAGAGUGUUAGUUACACAAAAUUUUUAAAUUUUAUGAAACUGUUAAUAUUAUAUAUCUAAGCUUCUAUUGUAAGUUUUUUCCCUCUCCCUCGCAUUAAUAAAUGGUAGUCGUUGUCAGCUCAUGUAGAAGUAGACUGGUUUGGAUACAAGUGGGAAGUUUAUAUACUCUUUGUUAAGUUUUCUUUACAUUAGUAAAUGGUAAUUAAUGGAAUUCUCAAGUUUAGGAAACCCUUGAACAGGGAGCUGAAUGAUAGGUCCCCUCUCAAGUGUAAAGUACUGCUAUGAUAAUUGUUGUUCUCUUCGGGUGAGAAACGUACCACAAUUUGAAUGCAAAUAUAUUUUUUCUACUUAUUACAAAAGCAUGGGCUGCUUAUAUAAGCAAAGCCGUUUACACUCCAACCGAAAUAAAAGGAAAGAUAACAACGUAACUAAACACACAAACAGAGCAUGAUAACAAACUGAAAUAAAAUGACGUAAAAUGCGCAACUACGAAUGUGUUGCGUAAAACUUGCAACCACUGAUGAUCAUAGGCCACGACCCAGUCCAUUAUCCAUUCCUGCAUGGUUUCCGUCUCCAUCUAUGUCUCAUGCAACGUGCAACUGCAUGUCCUAGCUCAUCCCAAAUACUUGGGAUUUGCCUUAUGGCCUCUCUCAGAUCUUCAUGGCCUAUCACUGAACCUUUUUUUUUACUUUUUUUUUGAAUAAUGUGGAGUUUCUCGACCGCAAUCGAACUAAUAUCACCAGCCCAGACCAGACUUUUCAUACAGAAUUGCGUUUGCGUUUCCGUUUUCCGUGACCUCAUGACCCUUUAGACCCUUUAGUAAAGGGCUUGACACUUGUACGUAGCUAGUGGGAUUCGAUCUCAGGACGUCCGAAUUUACAGUUGAUGUUUCAUUUAAACCACUACGACAAAUGUUAGGGUUGGGAGUGGAACCUUUCGUGCAUGAUAUAUGGAAUGAAUGUGAGGAGAGAUUUGAAUUUGAGAAAAUGAAGGGGUUAUCAGUUUGAUUUAUUAUAUAAAUACUAAAAGAGCUGGUGCCAUCUUUGAUCAUGAUAUGUUUCUUUGAUUUAUUAUUAUGUUCCUCUUUUGUAUACAGUUCCACGAAAAAUUUAUUUGUAUCGUUAAACGUGAUGUAUUUUGAAGAUUGUAUGAAAAUUAGGAUUUUUGUUUGUUUGUUUGUUUGGAGUGUAGAUUCAUUAUUAUAACCUUGUAAUGGAUAAUUUUAUAUUCAUACAUAUAAAUACCUAACUUAUUUUUUUCAUAAAUUUUAGAGGAAUAUAUCAGAAGUAAAAAUAUAUCAAAUAUCUAUGUACUUCAAAAAAUUCAAAAAAUCUCCAACAGCACCUCCCUCCCCCGGUCCAAGCUUUUAGGAUCCAGAAGUAACUUUCAAUUAAAAAUGAGAACCUGUGUGGACAUUGACUUUAUCAACCCAUCGUCCUGGACAAUUUUUAAUAUGAGUAGUUGUAAUUCUGUAAUUAAGCACACCUAUAGGGGGUGAAUAAGUGUAAAUAUUCAAAAGUGAUCUACAGUGGUUUAUUUUUAAAGUUUACUAUAGCAGGCUAUAAUCGGAUGGUCUAAUCCUGUCUGUAUUAGCUAUGUUCUUCGUCUGUUAUAAACGGAUAACUAAUACAUGUCCGUAUUAGUAUAAAUUUUUUCCGACUUAAACCAAAAUCUGCAAAAUAUUUAAGUUUAAAACAGAAACAAAAGAACAGUAUAUCACAUCAAGAUUUUUAUGUGAUUCAGCCACUAUCCUCUACUUUAGUAGCCUAAUCCACGUUCAAUACCAACAAGUAUUGGAGAGACUUUUUUUUUUUUAUUAAAACUUAAUAUUUAAAAGAUUACAGAAAACUCCCUGUACAACGAAGAUCGAUUCUGAUUUGGACACCUCUGCCCCUUUUGCACCUCUGCAACUUCUCUCACCUCUGAGACCUUGAUGCUUCCGUUAUACAGACUGAAUAUUAAAUAAUCACCCAAUCCAACCUAGACUUAUACUCGGUUUAUAAAAGAUGAAUAAAAUAUUACAAAGAAUUUCCAGUUACAAACGAUUCAGAAGAUUUAAAAUAACAACUGGAAUCAGACUUUAGAAGAACUCUCAAGAUGUAUUCAAUAAUGAUUUUCAGCUUCAAGUCUUUUGUAUCUCCUUGUAGCCGAGCAACGGUAUAUAUAAAGGAGAGUAGAUAUAACGGCUAUAAUAAAGUAACGUUCCAAUCCAUCCAAGCAACGACUAAUUCUUUUUUAUUGAAAUAGGAGAUAAACAUUAGCAAUAACAACACAGAGAUAUAUAAGAGAUAAAUUGCUAUGAAGGAGUCAAAUAAUAUCCAAAGACUAGCUAAAAGAAUCCCACUAGCUGUUAGGUUGUAUCCUUCAAAGAAACAACUGCUUUUGAAUAAGAAUCCUUGAUUAUCCCAAUUCCUAAAAAAUCUCCCAACCAAAUACGCCUUUUAUAACCUCUAGAUAUCAAUCUCCUAAUUAUACUCCAAUACAUAUUUUAAUUAGUCUUCAAAGCAAAUCAAAAAUAAACAUAUAUAUAUUCUAGUUAUAAAAACUGAAAGCAUAUGACAAAAAUAAAUCAAUUUGUUUUACUCACUCCAUCCUGCAGUAACUUUUAUGCCAUACAAAGUGAUUAUGAAAUCAAUCCAUGCAAUAAUCCAUGCAAACUAUUAUAUAAUUAAUAGGUAGCCCAAAAAAAUCAAAUAAGACCAUUACACAAUCUCAAAUAUAUUGUCAUUAUUAAAAUCACAAAAGAUAUAAACCAACAUUCUCCCCAUUUUUGAUGAUGACAAUAUAUUAUCUUUUGAAUUUAUAUACUCCCCCUAUCUAUAAGGCUCCCCCUAAAUUUAUGCAUAUUAAGGAGCAAAAAAUAAUGACUUGAUCCAAAUAACCAUCAUUACAUAUAGUAUCUCACUACCAACAUGAAUACCAAUUCAAAUACCAAAUAUCUCUCCCCCUUUGUCAUUAUCAAAAAGAAAUCAUUAAGCACAAGUUGAUUAAAAUAUAAUCAUCAUUACCCAAAUAUCUCUCCCCUUUGUCAUCAACAAAAAUUAAUUCAUAUCAAUUUAGCUAAAUAGUUAUCUCGCCCCAUUUGUCAAUAUUAAAAGAAUAAGUUCAAAGAUAAAGAAUAUCAUUGGAGAAAGUUUAUAACAAAAUCACAUAUAGCAAGUAAACAAUACGAUCAUACCUUUGUGAUUUGUUACCUAUAUAUCGACAUUGUUGUUACCAAUAGUAAGCUUGCUAGAUGUGCUCUGUAGUUUUCAAUUUUGGAUUUUUCGUUUAGGCAUGACUCUAAGUAUCUUUCUAUUUAUAUCCCUUUGAUCAAUUUUUUGGCCGAGCAUACUUAGAGAGUUCAUAAGAGUGAAGAAUCUAGCUUGAGCUUCUUUGAUGGAUUCAUUCUUCUCUAACAUGAAAAGCUCAUAUUCUUGCACUAGCAUACUUAAUUUGACUUCUUUUACCUUAGUAGUUCCCUCAUGGCUCAUGAUGAUUGUAUCCCAUCUUUCUUUAGCAGUGGUGCAUGCAGAAACUUUGUCUAUUUCAGCUUGAAUCAUCUCACUUAGUAGCGUGUUCAUGGCUCUUGAGUUGUAAGAAAAUAUGUAGCUUUCAUUUUCAUCCUUGUCCAUGAGAGUCUUGAGUCUACCAUCAUCAUGUCUAGGAAUAACAGGUCCAUUUUCAACUACCCACCAUUCCCAUGGGUCUCUUUAAGAAAAAUCUUCAUUCUGAACUUCCAAAAGUUGAAGUUUUCGCUUCCUAUCAACAGAGGUGGUCGACUUGUGGAUUGACCUUCUUGAAAAUAAAGGUGUGCCAUAGGAUCUUUCCCUACGACCUGCAAAGAUCAAUAUUAGUAGAGCCUUGCUCUGAUACCAAAUGUAAUUAUGUAAUUAAGCACACCUAGAGGGGGUGAAUAGGUGUAAAUACUCAAAAGUGAUCUACAGUGGUCUAUUUUUAAAGUUUACUAUAACAGGCUAUAAUCGGACGGUCUAACCUUGUCUGUAUUAGUUAUGUUAUUCGUCUGUUAUAAACGGACAACUAAUACAUGUCCGUAUUAGUAUAAAAAUUUUUCGACUUAAACCAAAAUCUGCAAAAUAUUUAAGCUUAAAAUAGAAAUAAAAGAACAGUAAAUCACACCCAGAUUUUUAUGUGGUUCAGCCCCUAUCUUCUACUCUAGUGGCCUAAUCCACGUCCAAUACCAACUAGUAUUGGAGACACUUUUUUAUUAAAACUUAAUAUUCAAAAGAUUACAGAAAACUCCUUGUACAACGAAGAUCGAUUCUGACUUGGACGCCUCUGCCCCCUUUGCAUCUUUGCAACUUCUCUCACCUCGGUUUAUAAAAGAUAAAUAAAAGAUUACAAAGAAUUUCCAGUUACAAACGAUUCAGAAGAUUAUAAAUAACAACUGGAAUCAGACUUUAGAAGAACUCUUAGGAUGUAUUCAAUAAUGAUUUUCAGCUUCAAGUCUCUUGUAUCUCCUUGUAGCCGAGCAACAAUAUAUAUAAAGGAAAGUAGAUGUAAUGGCUAUAAUAAAGUAACGUUCCAAUCCAUCUAAGCAACGACUAAUUCUUUUUAAUUGAAAUAGGAGAUAAACAUUCACUAUAAGAAAUAGGACUAUUUACGACGGAAGUAAGGUCGACUGAAUGGAUUCGCUCGGGAUUAACGUAUUGCCGACGGAAUAUUCAGUCUUUCAAAACUCCCUCGAGAAUAGUACAACUUUGACUGAAUUCAGUCGAUACUAUACCAUGUUUGUGGCGCAAAAAUUUCUCUCCAGCGCCAAUAACAACCUCGAAGGAAGAACUAUUAAUAUCGACUGAUUGUUUGUCGAGGAUACUUUAUCAUCGACUGAAUGAAUCCCGACUGAGUUUCGUCGAAAAUAGUCCUUAAAACCCACAUACUAACAAACGCGAGCCUCACUUCAGCUUCUCCUGAUUUCUUUUUCAUCUUUUCUCUCUCUGUUCUGCUGUUGCGUUCUCUGUCCCUCCUCCCCUCACUCUCCUCGCCAGCUGUCGUCCCUCACCUAGUCGGCCGCCACACCUCUCCUCUUCAGCAGCCCCAUCUCCAGCCAAGCCCUCGCCGGCAGCCUCACCUCCGGCUCCCUCUGGUGCUCUCUCUCUCUCUAGUCCCUCUCUGCUCCUCCUUCUCUCUCAAUUUAAGGUUAGUUUUUUCAAUUAAUUUUAAAUUUAGAACCCUUAAUUUUCAGAUAUGUAUAUGAUUAUGCAUAAAUUUGGGUAUAAGUACUUUGAACCCUAAAUUUUCUGUUUAAAUAUUGUUGAAAGUGUUGAAAUAUUGUUGAUAGUGUUGAAAUAUUCUAUUGAAAUGUUGUUAAACCCUAAAUUUCCUUUGCAGUGUUGUUGAAAUUGGGAUUUUCUAUGAUAGUUUGCUAAAUUUGGUUUGCUAUAUGAAACUAAUUUUGAGACUGAGAUGUUGCUUGGUGACUGAUAUUGGUUUACUGUAUUGGUGUUUAAUUUAUACCCAGCCAGUUAUAAUGUCUAUAUUGAGGAGUUAUAAUGCAGUGUGAUAAACUUAAUUUGCAGUGUUCUGAUUUCUGCCUUUUCCAGCAUUGUGAAUUUUAAUUUGUGUUCAAUUGAAGACUUCUUUUAUUUUGGUGUUAAGUAUUAAGUCCGACGGAAUUUCUGACUGAAUUUCUGUGGAAUUUAUAGAUGGUAAUAAAUAAAUAUUUAAUUAACUAUAUAAAAGACAAUAUAUUAUAAUAUAAUAAAUAAAUAUUUAUAUAAAUUAAUACAAAAAAAAUACUAGGAGCUUUAAAUAACUUUAAUAAAUUAUAUAAUAUAAUAUAAUAUAAUAAACUUUAAAAUAAAAUAAAUUUACUUUAUUAUUUAAUAUAAUAUAAUUAAAAAUAAAAUAAAAUAAAUUUAAUUUAAUACAAUAAAAUAAAUUUACUUUAUUAUUUAAUAUAAUAUUAUAAAAAAUAAAAUAAAAUAAAAAUCGACGGACUUAAUUUCGACGUGCUUAUAUAUGAUCGAAUUUCCGACCGAAGAUUCCGUCGCAAAUAAGGUUGUCCUCGACGGAAUACCCUUAUUAUCGACAGAAUAUUCCGUCGAAAAUAUCCUUUUUUGUUGUAGUGAUUAGCAAUAACAACACAGAGAUAUAUAAGAGAUAAAUUGCUAUGAAGGAUUCAAAUAAUAUCCAAAGACUAGCUAAAAGAAUCCCACUAGCUGUUAGCUUGUAUCCUUCAAAGAAACAACCGCUUUUGAAUAAGAAUCCUUGAUUAUCCCAAUUCCUAAAAAAUAUCCCAGCCAAAUACGCCUUUUAUAACCUUUAGAUAUCAAUCUCCUAAUUAUACUCCAAUACAUAUUUUAAUUAGUCUUCAAAGUAAAUCAGAAUUAGAUAUAAACAUAUAUAUAUAUUCUAGUUAUAAAAACUGAAAGCAUGUGACAAAAAUAAACCAAUUUGUUUUACUCACUCCAUGCUAAAGUAACUUUUAUGCCAUACAAAGUGAUUAUGAAUCAACCCAUGCAAUAAUCCAUGCAAACUAUUAUAUAAUUAAUAUAUAACCCAAAAAAAUCAAAUAAGACCAUUGCACAAACCCAAAUAUAUUGUCAUUAUUAAAAUCACAAAAGAUAUAAACCAACUUUGUUAGAAAAAUAAAGGGGAUACCUGAAACUUGCAUCAGCUCACGUGGUACUUAGCUGGCGAUGCUUCGUUACUGGUAGUUUCAGAUAAGGUAAGAUUUGUUCAAGUUCAAUCUGGCAUGACUGCAUCACAAAAUGGAACCCCGUUAAUUUUUACGAAACUGUUAAUAUUAUAUAUCUAACAUUUUUUAAUUUUUUUUUUACCCAUGAACACCUCUAAACACCAAAGGACGCUGAUAGACACGUAAUUCAUACAUUUAGAUAUCCCUAAUUUUGUCCUUUUAAUUAUAUUAGUUUAUUAACUUAAUAUGUUUAAUUUUAUUUUGUAGGAUUUAAUAUAUUUUGUGAUAAAGUCAAAAUCUUGGUGAUCAAGUGAUAUUUAAUGCUCUUAUUCAUGUAAGGAAUAUCCAAGAAGAAUUCGACAAGGAGAAGGAAAGAGGUUGAGCAAUCUUAAUGUGCAAGUCAAAUCCAACAAGAGAAAUGAAAGUCAAUCUAGAAGAUCUCUUUAUCUAGAAGAUCUUUUUGAGAAGUUGAUUGAUACUAGGAAAUUGAAACCUACAUGGAAAUGGAACAAAAGUGUCCAAGUUCAAUUAAUCUAAAUUAGGGUUCAAAGUUAUUUUCUCUAUAAAUAGGUCUCUUGUUUAGAGAGAAAGAUAUGAGGUAUUGUAUUACUUUGGGUUAGGAGUAGGAGUAAAUUUAAUUACGUUUCAUUGUACGCUUGUUGGAGGAUCGUGAAUAAAGAGAGUUUUCUUAUUUAUUUUCAAUCUUCUACUUCUUCUUUAUUUUAGUUAAUUUAUUUAUUUUCAUGUCUAGUUAAUUUCUUUAAUCUAGGAUGAAGAUGAAAUUAAAUAAUUAUUCGUAAUAAUAUUUUUUAUCUCUUCUAUUAUUUAUGCUUUUAUGUUUAAUUGAUUUCGCCUUCAUGUUUCGUUAUUGAAAUACCUUCGUUUUAUAGUUGUUAUGUGAUUUUAAAUUAAUUAAGAGGUUUUGAUAGAUUAUUGUUAAGAUAUGAGUUUUUCAUAAUCCAUGCUUGCUCAAAGAAGUGUUGAUGGGUUAUAGUUAAUCCUUAAAUUUUUAUAGUCUAUGCUUGCCCACAUUAAUUGCAACUUACUAAAUUAAAGGGAAGGGAGAUCAAAAUCAUAAUUUGAGUUAUAAAAACAGAAGAGAUUGAAUUAUAUGUUAUGUUUAUUAUUUAGUGAAUUCAGAUCCCUAGAUUGUUUUCUCAUUAAUUAUUUUCAUAUUCUAGUUAAUUAAUUCUCAAUCUUUAUUUCUAAUUCGCCUAAAAUAAAUAUUAAGGAAACAUUAAAAUUAAUCUAGUCUCUGUGGGUUCGACCUAUACUUGCCAGUUCUUCAAUUCACACUGUGCACUUGCAGUACAAAUUUUAUCACAUUAAGUUUUUGGCGCCGUUGCCGGGGACUAGAAUUAAUUUUUUUUAUUCCUUAAUUUGUAUUUAUUCGAAUUAGUUUUAACUUUAAUUUUAUUUUAUUUUUAAUUUUUUUUUAUUUUUCAGGAUUAUUGAAGUGGAUCGAAGGAGCGAAAAGAUAAAGAUUUUGUUGCUGGAGGAUUGAGGUACGUCAAAAUUUUCCCUUCUUUCGUAAUUCACAUAGUUUUAGGACACUUUAUAUGUUUAUAUAUAUUUUUUUGCAUUUUCAUCUUUAAUCUAACAUUAAGGGCACAACCUGUAACAAGAUAAGGUGAGAAUUUCAUCACCCUUCCUUGGCCCACAAAUAACUCAAUUUAUAUUUUGCAUAACCAUGACCUAAUAAAAUCAAGUAGACGUUGGCCCCUAGGACUCUCGAGCUCAAUUAGGACAAGAAACUCCAAGAGGAGGCUGAAUUUUAAAUUAAUCAAACUAUUGGUGUCUAGGCAAGUGGUUCAAAAGGUAAAUGCCUAAAGAUUGUGUGGUUAUUUAAUUAGUCACCGUAUCUACGGAGAGACUCCCACCUUUCUUACACUUACCUGGCUAGUGGUGUGAUUAAUUUCGAAUUUGGUGGACUUUGCGGUGUAACUUGGAGCAGUUAGGAGCUGUCUAGAUUUUAUUUAGGUUAACCGUAGAAUUAGGAUUUUUUUUUUGUGACUUUCGUGGUUAGUUGUUUAUUUGUUUUGGGAUUUGUGGAAAAAUGGAUUCCUAUUAUAGUUGGAAUAAUAAUUUUACUUGGAAUCAAGAACCCUAUGAAAAUUUUAAUGCACACCAAGUAAAUCAAUUUUUUCCAACUUAUGAAAAUCCUUAUCUAAAUCCUUAUCCAUAUCCAUAUCUAUAUCCAUAUCUAUAUUCGGAUCCAGAACCUCAAUAUCCAAAAGAAUUAUCAAAUGAAGUAGACGAAAGACUUAGUGCCCUGGAGAAAACUACGAAAGUUUUAAUGGAAGAACAAUUUAGUAUUAUAUCUCGUCUAGAAAUUCAAAUGAGUCAAUUAGCCACCAUAAUAAAUGAACAAGAGGUGGAUGAAUUUUCUAGUAACUCUGAGGUUAAUUUUGAAAAUCUUGAUGGUUGUGGAAAUGUUGAGGAAAGUGAAAAUUUUAUAUUCAAUUUUACACAAUUUUAGUCAAGCGUAUUUGAGGAGUCUACAAAUUAUGAGUCUAUGCCUAAAAUUGAUCAUGUUGCAUUUGAUGACUUUGUUGAAAAAAGUCUAUAAACCUAAAGUUCCAUACCCCGAAAGACUUAUUCCAAAAAAAUUACUCACUGAUUUUUUGGACAUGCCCAUUCAAGUAAACAUGAUCCACGAGUUGUCAUUGACCCAAGAGAUAAUUGAAAAUAGACUCUUGAUUAAAAAAGAUCUAAGUGGUUUUUUCUUGAAUCACCUUGACCAAAAUUGGAAUGAAUCCGAAUAUUUAGAUAAGGUCAAUGAGCCGUUGAGAUCCACUACAAAUAAGUCAACUAAACUAGAACAUGUAUUUGAAUCAAUUCUUUCAUCAUUUGAACAUGUUAAUGAAAAUUUUCUUGAGGUAAACUUGAAGCAUAAUUGUGAUGAAAAUUCUGACUAUUUUCAAUUUUCUAGACCUCCUGAAAAUAAUGAAAAGUUCACACUCACUUAUCCAUGUGUAACAUUCAUUUUUAGUCAUAUAUUUUUUAGGAUUUAUAAAAUUCGUAGAUAUGUACAUUUGUUUUCUUUCUCACCACAUCUUCUUGCAGAACAUAUGCCCCUUCAUACAAGGUACAAUUCUUUCACAUCUUUGUUCUCUUUUCUUCAUUUGCAUACAUUGAAGACAAUGUAUGAUUUAGGUAUGGGGGGAGUUUGUUUGUAUUAUAUUUUUUUUUCUUUUUACGAAAAAAAAUAAAAAUAAAAAUCUAAAAAAAAUUAAAAAAUUAAAAAUUUUGUUUGACUUUUUAUGAAUUGAAUUAAUUCUAAUAUGUGUUUGUGGAGCAAAACGCAUGAGUGAGAUUGAAAAAUUUAGAACUCUUGAAUUUUUGAUAAGAUACGAAAUCUUAGUUCAAAACAUCAUCUGAAUUUAAAAAUGAUUUCACAAGCAUUUUUGCACUUCACGUUUGCACUAAUUCUUAGUUGUGGGGUAUAAACCAUGAUUCGAGUAAUUUCUUUAAAAAAGAAAAAAAAGAAUAAUAAGAAGAAGAAAGAAUGAAAAAAAAAAUGAAGUGAGAAAAGUUGAAAAAAAAAGAAAUAAAUAACUGCUUCAAUGUCCAUUAAACGAAAUAACUGGGUGUCCAAGUCUCGAGAAGCAUCGAUAUUCACGCUGAAAAGUGUGAUGGAUAAAAGCAGCUUGACUAGUCUAAUUUUGUAGCCUUUGUUACUCGAGUUAGUAAAUCCUUAGGGGUGUCUCUACACCUAGUGCCCUAAAGCCAUCUGGUUUGGGAGUCAUUGGUCCAACGCUCGCUCUACAUGGGUAACUCUGAAAAGCCUAAGAAAAUGAGACAUUGCACAAGUCAAGAAUCAAAAUUGAAAAAAAANNNNNNNNNNNNNNNNNNNNNNNNNNNNNNNNNNNNNNNNNNNNNNNNNNNNNNNNNNNNNNNNNNNNNNNNNNNNNNNNNNNNNNNNNNNNNNNNNNNNUUGGGGUUUAAAGGCUUGUUGCACAUGCUAAGUGCAAUCGUGUUUCCUACGAAAAUGUGGUAGUGUAAUUUUUGUAUUAUUUUAUUUUUAUUUUACUCGAGGACGAGCAAAAGCUAGGUAUAGGGGUAUUUGAUAGACACGUAAUUCAUACAUUUAAUUAUCCCUAAUUUUGUCCUUUUAAUUAUAUUAGUUUAUUAAAUUAAUAUGUUUUAUUUUAUUUUGUAGGAUUUAAUAUUUUUUGCAAUAAAGUCAAAAUCUUGGUGAUCAAGCGAUAUUUAAUGCUCUUAUUCAUAUAAGGAAUAUCCAAGAAGAAUCCAACAAGGAGAAGGAAAGAGGUUCAACAAUCUUAGUGUGCAAGUCAAAUCCAACAAGAGAAAGGAAAGUCAAUCUAGAAGAUCUCUUUAUCUAGAAGAUCUUUUUGAUAAGUUGAUUGACACUAGGAAAUUAAAACUUACAUGGAAAGGGAACAAAAGUGUCCAAGUUCAAUGAAUCUAAAUUAGGGUUUAAAGUUUUUUUCUCUAUAAAUAGGUCUCUUGUUUUAGAGAGAAAGAUAUGAUGUAUUGUAUUACUUUAGAUUAGGAGUAGGAGUAAAUUAAAUUACGUUUCAUUGUACGCUUGUUGGAGGAUCAUGAAUAAAUGGAGUUAAUUUUCUUAUUUAUUUUCAAUCUUCUACUUCUUCUUUAUUUUAGUUAAUUUAUUUAUUUUCAUGUCUAGUUAAUUUUUUUUAAUCUAGGAUGAAGAUGAAAUUAAAUAAUUAUUCGUAAUAAUAUUUUUUAUCUCUUCUAUUAUUUAUGCUUUUGUGUUUAAUUGAUUUCGCCUUCAUAUUUCGUUAUUGAAAUACCUUUGUUUUAUUGUUGUUAUGUGAUUUUAAAUUAAUUAAGAGGUUUUGAUAGAUUACUGUUAAGAUAUGAGUUUUUCAUAAUCCAUGCUUGCUCAAAGAAGUGUUGAUGGGUUAUAGUUAAUCCUUAAAUUUUCAUAGUCUAUGUUUGCCCACAUUAAUUGUAAAUUACUAAAUUAAAGGGAAGAGAGAUCAAAAUUAUAAUUUGAGUUAUAAAAACAGAAGAGAUUGAAUUAUAUGUUAUGUUUGUUAUUUAGUGGAUUCAGAUUCCUAGAUUUUUUUCUCAUUAAUUAUUUUCAUAUUCUAGUUAAUUAAUUCUCAAUCUUUAUUUUUAAUUCGCCUAAAAUAAAUAUUAAGGAAACAUUAAAAUUAAUCUAAUCUCUGUGGGUUCGACAUGUACUUGUCAGUUCUUCAAUUUGACACUGUGCACUUUCAGUACAAAAUUUAUCACAUCAGACACCUAAAAGUAUAUAAGUUUAUAUUAAAUAUGUUACAAAGACUAAUUUAUUUUCAAAAUAGGGGUUCACUAAUUAAGAAAUAAAAAUACUCAAAUGAGCGGAAUGACCUCUCAAGUAUAUUGAGCAAUUUUAAUUGAGUGACGUAGAGUAUGUGGGUCGUUGGGUCUGCACAUGAAUGAUAUUUGCUCUUAUACCAUAUUGAAAUAUCCAACUCAAAAUCAAUUGAUAAUGAGUGCAGUAGCCUCUCAAAUUAUAUAUUAAGUCUCUAUUUCUUAGUUGUCCCAUGUGAGAUUUUAUAUAUAUACAGUUGCUGAAGGUCUUUAAAAAUUAGAAGAUGACUAAUCUAGCUGUCCAUAAUACUUUUGAUUUUUUUUUAUUUAUUUAAAGAUGGAGUGAGUAUAUUAUAUGGAUUAUUUGCAAUUUUCGGGUAAUAGGUACGAACUCCGAGUGGGUAAUCCAAGUCAAUUCUAGCUGACCUAAUACUUACCUAAUAUUACAACAAAAUUGCAUAUAAAAUCGACUAAGUCAACUUUGAAAUAUAUAUUUUUUUGAAUAACUUUGAAAUAAAAUUGAAUUAGACCAAUUAAUAGAUCAGAUAUUUGAUUAAUGGACAAUAUAUUUGCUAAGUUAGGGAGGUAAUAUAAAUUGACCGCUUAAUAUAUAGGGAUAACUGUGCAUGCCCAUAUAUAAUUGUAAUAGUUGUCCCAAAUCACUUGACAAAAAAAUAAAAUAUGCUACUAUAAUUUAUUUUUAUUUAAGUUGGAAUUAAGUAUCAGUACCUUGAUUGAUCAAGAACAGAUAUGACUGCAGUUGUUUGGGCAAGAGCAAAUUUCUUUGUAUUCUAUAAAUUUAAUUUAAACUCGUAAACUCUGUUUUACUCAAAUCAUGAUUAAGAUGAAUAAAUGCGAAGGAUGAAAAGUUGAUAAAAAUACACAGGCUAAAAAAUAUUUCUUUGCACCAAAUUAAAGGACUGUUUUGCUUCUUUUUCUUUUUCUUUAUUUGGUCAAAAUUAAGUGCCAAUUAAAAUAUCCAAAUUUUAAUGGUAAAGGUCUUCCAAAAAAGAGUCAGUCAUACUAAUCAAACAAAGUCUACUCGUUAAUCAUUCAUUAAAUUUUCGAUUACACUACAACUUUAUUACAAUGAAAAUCACCCAGUGAAGAAAAUCACCUACUCCCACUACCCUAAAACCAUAAAAAAAAAAUCUCAAAACAAGAUGUAUCAUCAAUGCAAAUAAGAAUAAAUAUCUACUCGAGUCUCGAGAUAUUUAUGGGAAAAUUCUUCAAGGCCCAUUUUGAAAUUUUCAGGCUAGAACUCCUUUGAAGAUACUGGGAUUCAUUUAUCCCAUCAUAUGCAGUAUUAGACUCUUCGGAUAGUGAGUUUAGGGUACGGUAGUGAUUGAUUAUAACUUUCGUCAUGUACUGAAUGAUUUGAAUGACUAUGCUCGGAGGGUGAAAAAAUUUGUUUUGCUAAUAGAGACUUUUCUUUAGGGCGUAUUUGAGACAAUAGUGAUUGAGAAAAACUUUGGUUAUGUACUAAAUGAUUUGAUUGACUAUACUCGCAGGAUGAAAAAUUUUGUUUUGCUAAUAGAGACUUUUCCUUGGGGCGUAUUUGAGAUAGUAAUGAUUCAGAAGAACUUUCGUUAUGUACUAAAUGAUUAGAUUGACUAUGUUUGUAGGGUGAAACAAUUUGCUUUGCUAAUAGAGACUUUUCCUCAAGACGUAUUUGAGAUAGUAUUGAUUGAGCAGAACUUUUGUUAUGUACUAGAUGAUUUGAUUGACUAUCGGAGGUUGAAAAAAUUUGCUUUGCUGAUAUAGACUUUUCCUUAGGACGUAUUUGAGACAGUAGUGAUUCAGAAGAAUUUUCGUCGGAGGGUGAAAAAAUUUGCUUUGCUAAUAGAGACUUUUCCUUGGGGCGUAUUUGAUACCGUAGUGACUGAGAAGAACUUUCGUUAUGUACUGGAUGAUUUGAUUGACUAUGCUCAGAGGGUGAAAAAAUUUGCUUUGCUGAUUGAGACUUUUCCUUGGGGCGUAUUUGAGACAGUAGCGAUUCAGAAGAACUUUCCUUAUGUAAUGGAUGAUUUGAUUGACUAUGCUCGGAGGUUGAAAAAAUUUGCUUUGCUAAUAGAGACUUUUCCUCGAGAUGUAUUUGAGACACUAUUGAUUGAGCAGAACUUUUAUAAUUAUGUACAAGAUGAUUUGAUUGAUUAUGCUCGGAGGGUAAAAAACUUUGCUUUGCUAAUAGAGACUUUUCCUUAGGGCGUAUUUGAGGCAUUAGUGAUUGAGAAAAACUUUCGUUAUUUGCUGGAUGAUUUGAUUGACUAUGCUCAGAGGAUGAAAAAAAUUGAUUUGCUAAUAGAGACUUUACCCAAUGACGUAUUUUAGACGGUGGUGAUCCGCGAGAACUUCGAAUUUGUGCCAAAGAAUUUGGUUGACUACGUUCGGAAUGUGGUAUAACUCCAAAUGCUGAAUUCUCCAUCAAUUUGGAUUGCGCUUUUCUAGACAACGGCUUCUGAGAAUUUGAUCAAACAAAAGAGUGCAAAAACUUAGCUUUUUUUUUAUUUUUUGCAAAAGGUUAAGAAUGAUAUAUUGCUAAAAAUUUAUUCCAUAAUCUACAUGAUAGUGAAAUAAUGUUAACUAAACUAAAUUAAUUCUAAAAUAUUCGUGAAUUAAUUUAAAUACAUGAAUAUGUAAU
Molecule: long non-coding RNA, 16164 nt
Filed under: Panax ginseng (ginseng)
Lineage: Eukaryota; Viridiplantae; Streptophyta; Magnoliopsida; Apiales; Araliaceae
Description: long non-coding RNA (PGIN_LNC008960)
Source: RNAcentral